Molecule: ribosomal RNA, 415 nt
Filed under: Clostridioides difficile
Lineage: Bacteria; Bacillati; Bacillota; Clostridia; Peptostreptococcales; Peptostreptococcaceae
Description: partial 23S ribosomal RNA
Rfam family: Bacterial large subunit ribosomal RNA
Source: RNAcentral
CAAAAACAUAGGUUUCUGCUAAGUCGCAAGACGAUGUAUAGGAGCUGACGCCUGCCCGGUGCUGGAAGGGUAAGGGGAUCUGUUAGAGCAAUCGAAGCAGUGAACUUAAGCCCCAGUAAACGGCGGCCGUAACUAUAACGGUCCUAAGGUAGCGAAAUUCCUUGUCGGGUAAGUUCCGACCCGCACGAAAGGCGUAACGAUUUGGGCACUGUCUCAACAACAGACUCGGUGAAAUUGUAAUUCCGGUGAAGAUGCCGGAUACCUGCGACAGGACGGAAAGACCCCAUGGAGCUUUACUGUAGCUUGACAUUGGGUCUUGGUACUACAUGUACAGGAUAGGUGGGAGGCUUUGAAACCAGGACGCCAGUUUUGGCGGAGCCAUCCUUGGGAUACCACCCUUGUAGUACUGGGACUC